GGUGUGCUGGCGCAAUGGUAAGCUUGUUCCUCGGAAGCUUAAGGUUCUGGGUUCGAGUCCCAGGUACAUCG
RNAcentral lists this transfer RNA (71 nucleotides) under Clonostachys rhizophaga. It matches the Rfam family "tRNA". From Rfam's summary of the family: Transfer RNA (tRNA) molecules are approximately 80 nucleotides in length. Their secondary structure includes four short double-helical elements and three loops (D, anti-codon, and T loops). Lineage: Eukaryota; Fungi; Ascomycota; Sordariomycetes; Hypocreales; Bionectriaceae. The record is from RNAcentral.